This 459-nucleotide ribosomal RNA is filed under the name uncultured Sphingobacteriales bacterium. Its description in RNAcentral is "bacterial SSU rRNA". It matches the Rfam family "Bacterial small subunit ribosomal RNA", at positions 923 to 1382 of the family's 1533-position model. Lineage: Bacteria; Pseudomonadati; Bacteroidota; Sphingobacteriia; Sphingobacteriales. The record is from RNAcentral.
GCACAAGCGGUGGAGCAUGUGGUUUAAUUCGAUGAUACGCGAGGAACCUUACCUGGGCUCGAACGUAAGAUGACUGUAGGUGAAAGCUUACAUCUCUUCGGAGCAUUUUACGAGGUGCUGCAUGGUUGUCGUCAGCUCGUGCCGUGAGGUGUCGGGUUAAGUCCCAUAACGAGCGCAACCCCUACCUUUAGUUGCCAUCAGGUUAAGCUGGGGACUCUAAAGGAACUGCCUACGCAAGUAGUGAGGAAGGCGGGGAUGACGUCAAAUCAGCACGGCCCUUACGUCCAGGGCUACACACGUGCUACAAUGGCCGAUACAGAGGGCAGCUACCUGGUGACAGGAUGCAAAUCUCCAAAGUCGGUCUCAGUUCGGAUCGGAGUCUGCAACCCGACUCCGUGAAGUUGGAUUCGCUAGUAAUCGCGCAUCAGCCAUGGCGCGGUGAAUACGUUCCCGGGCCUU